RNAcentral lists this ribosomal RNA (429 nucleotides) under Gemmatimonadota bacterium. RNAcentral's name for it is "Gemmatimonadetes bacterium partial 16S ribosomal RNA". It matches the Rfam family "Bacterial small subunit ribosomal RNA", at positions 355 to 776 of the family's 1533-position model. Lineage: Bacteria; Pseudomonadati; Gemmatimonadota. The record is from RNAcentral.
UAGGGAAUCUUCGGCAAUGGACGAAAGUCUGACCGAGCAACGCCGCGUGAGUGAAGAAGGUUUUCGGAUCGUAAAACUCUGUUGUUAGAGAAGAACAAGGACGUUAGUAACUGAACGUCCCCUGACGGUAUCUAACCAGAAAGCCACGGCUAACUACGUGCCAGCAGCCGCGGUAAUACGUAGGUGGCAAGCGUUGUCCGGAUUUAUUGGGCGUAAAGCGAGCGCAGGCGGUUUCUUAAGUCUGAUGUGAAAGCCCCCGGCUCAACCGGGGAGGGUCAUUGGAAACUGGGAGGCUUGAGUGCAGAAGAGGAGAGUGGAAUUCCAUGUGUAGCGGUGAAAUGCGUAGAUAUAUGGAAGAACACCAGUGGCGAAGGCGGCUCUCUGGUCUGUAACUGACGAUGAGGCUCGAAAGCGUGGGGAGCAAACAGG